RNAcentral lists this ribosomal RNA (915 nucleotides) under uncultured marine archaeon. RNAcentral describes it as "bacterial SSU rRNA". It matches the Rfam family "Archaeal small subunit ribosomal RNA", at positions 1 to 922 of the family's 1478-position model. The record is from RNAcentral.
UUCCGGUUGAUCCCGCCGGACCUGACUGCUAUCGGAUUGAUACUAAGCCAUGCGAGUCUUUGUAGUAAUACAAGGCAGACGGCUCAGUAACACGUAGUCAACCUACCCUAUGGACGAGAAUAAUCUCGGGAAACUGAGCAUAAUUCUUGAUAGAUCAUAAUGCCUGGAAUGGUUUAUGGUUAAAAUGAUUCGUCGCCAUAGGAUGGGACUGCGGCCUAUCAGCUUGUUGGUGAGGUAAUGGCCCACCAAGGCGAUUACAGGUACGGGCUCUGAGAGGAGAAGCCCGGAGAUGGGUACUGAGACACGGACCCAGGCCCUAUGGGGCGCAGCAGGCGAGAAAACUUUGCAAUGUGCGAAAGCACGACAAGGUUAAUCCGAGUGAUUUCUGCUAAAGAAAUCUUUUGCCAGUCGUAAAACCGCUGGUGAAUAAGGGGUGGGCAAGUUCUGGUGUCAGCCGCCGCGGUAAAACCAGCACCUCAAGUGGUCAGGAUGAUUAUUGGGCCUAAAGCAUCCGUAGCCGGCUUUGUAAGUUUUCGGUUAAAUCCAUGUGCUCAACGCAUGGGCUGCCGAAAAUACUGCAUAGCUAGGGAGUGGAAGAGGUAGACGGUACUCAGUAGGUAGGGGUAAAAUCCUUUGAUCUAUUGAUGACCACCUGUGGCGAAGGCGGUCUACCAGAACACGUUCGACGGUGAGGGAUGAAAGCUGGGGGAGCAAACCGGAUUAGAUACCCGGGUAGUCCCAGCUGUAAACGAUGCAGACUCGAUGAUGCAUUGGCAUAAUAGCCAUUGCAGUGUCGCAGGGAAGCCGUUAAGUCUGCCGCCUGGGAAGUACGUACGCAAGUAUGAAACUUAAAGGAAUUGGCGGGGGAGCACCACAAGGGGUGAAGCCUGCGGUUCAAUUGGAUUCAACGCCGGG